This is an RNA transcript of Vombatus ursinus (common wombat), 1272 nucleotides long. It is a transcript of the gene named thiamine triphosphatase, with no coding region annotated. The transcript is spliced from 5 exons. Lineage: Eukaryota; Metazoa; Chordata; Mammalia; Diprotodontia; Vombatidae. The record is from RefSeq and is a predicted model, not a curated record.
UCGGCUCCGCUUGAGGCCCAGUGAGUGACCCCCGCCCGCCCCGGGACCCGAGUUGGGACAAGGGGUGGAGCGCGAGCGCUUUGGCCUAGUUCCUUCGGCCCACAGCCUGGAACUCGGCACCCUUCACAAGCCCGAAGGCCUACCAGACCCGGCCUGCAGUCUACACCGUCCCAGCUAGGAACUAAUAUGGCCGCUGGAGCCGGGUCCAGGGCCGGAGGCGCGAGGGUAGUAGAAGCCAAAUCACUGUUUGUUAUUUGACUUAUUGGCUACAGGCAGCAUGACACAUCCUUGGAUUGAGGUAGAACAAAAAUUUGUCCCAAGACCAGGAAUUGAGGAUCGGUUGAAGGAACUGGGUGGUACUCAGGAGAGUCAGAUUUCUUUCCGUGACAGCUACUAUGACACUCGGGAGCUUACUCUUAUGAAGGCUGAUCACUGGCUCCGGCAUCGUGAAGGAAGUGGAUGGGAGCUCAAGUGCCCUGGAGCAGGAGGUAACACUGGCUCCCACACUAAGUACAUGGAGCUCACAGCAGAGGCUGCCAUAGCAGCCCGGUUGUGUGAGAGGUUGGGGACUGCAGGGUUGGGCACAGAGAAUGUUUCAGAGAUGCUCGGGCGACUGGAGCUGCAGGAAGUAGCCAGUUUUGUAACAGAGCGGAGUGUCUGGAAGCUGGUACUCUCUGGAGCUGGUGAUGAAGGGGAGGCACUUACUGUAGACCUGGAUACAGCGGACUUUGGCUAUGCAGUAGGGGAAGUGGAGGCCCUAGUUCGAGAAGAGGCUGAGGUACCAAAAGCCCUGGAGAAGAUCCGCAGUCUCAGCUCCUUGCUUGGUGUUUCACAGCAUGAGCAAACACCUGGCAAGCUGAUUGUAUACCUGCAGCGCUUUAGGCCUCUGGACUACCAGCGCCUAUUAGAAGUGGCCACAGGGAAGAAUGAUGAACAAGAGGAGUCUGCAGCCAUAGAGAAUUAAACAGGGUUCCUGGCUCUCACCUUGUUGGGAUUGAGGACUCUGAGGACCUGUGUGAUGGGAGGACCUCCCUGAGCUGGAACUGUGUCCCCACUGGGUAUCUGCAGCUGCAGCUGGAAACUCUGGCCAUGGGGUGGGGGGAAAGCAAGCCAGCAGGAUGCCUGAUGCACAAUCUGCCCGAAGAUCCACAGGGCAGGAUUCCAGGAAACCUUGCAGCUCCUGGGUCAUGGACCGAAUGUUAGAACUAUUCACCAGAGCCAAGCUCAGUUCUAGUGCCCGCCUAGCAGAAUAAACAGAAUUAAACAACCAAA